CAAUAUGAGUUAUGAGUUGUUUGACCAGAUGUUCAGUCUAUUUAUGGUAACCGAUGGAACCUUGGACGAAGCGCAUCGUGCUAUCCCAACAUCAAUUUGUAGUGCUUACCUGUGAAGUGAUCUUAAAUUCUUCAUACAAAAUGAGUUGACAUCAUUUUUGUAGUUCUCUCUUGCAACAUUCUCCCGACACUACAAGUAGUAGGUCAUGUCUGCUUAGAACCCAUCUAUGGAGACCACAAAGAAGCACUGAGUGACCUAGAAAAUAUCAUGCCUGUUGACCUAUCAAAGCAAGGCAAUAGGAAACCGAGGUCCUAAGAUAAGACUU
This 325-nucleotide long non-coding RNA is filed under the name Sorghum bicolor (sorghum). Its description in RNAcentral is "long non-coding RNA (SBIC_LNC005362)". Lineage: Eukaryota; Viridiplantae; Streptophyta; Magnoliopsida; Poales; Poaceae. The record is from RNAcentral.